Molecule: small RNA, 171 nt
Filed under: Chelonoidis abingdonii (Abingdon island giant tortoise)
Lineage: Eukaryota; Metazoa; Chordata; Testudines; Testudinidae
Description: TUC338 (ENSCABG00000020857.1)
Source: RNAcentral
GUGACAGCCAUGGAGAUGGCAUCCCAUUAGUUAUAGAACAGGUACAGCAGGGAGUAACAGUGAAAGCUUUCGCACCUUUUCAUGGCAAUGGUUCUCACACUUGCGAUGGAGGGACCAUCUCUAUAGUGAGAUGGUAGUAUAGUUCCUAAAUUUAUUCAGUCCUUGGUCUUG